AGGUCGCUGUAAACUUAUACUUGUGUUUGUUUGAAUAAAGAAUAAAGUGUGAGUGCCGGCGCAUAUUUAAAGGAAUGGGGUUUGUCGGAAUCUACGAUAACAAAUUUUGAAGUAAAUCAGAUUUCGUUGGAAUUGCUUGACCACAUACAAGAAACAGAACUCAAGGAGCUUGUUCCGAGUUUAAAAGAACGUAUAUUAUUCAAGCGGGGAUUGAACAAACUCCAAAACAUCAUUCAUGCGACAGACUCUGAUGAAACUCUAUUAAUUGAUAGCGAUUUUUCUGCGCCCAGUCCCGCGGAAAGCACAAGCAGUGAUGAGUUGCCGACUACGGCGACUAUUACGAAAGACAAAUCUUCUGUAAGUUCUUUUGCCUUUAUUUUAUGUCUUGGUACU
Cydia strobilella is the source of this 393-nucleotide long non-coding RNA. RefSeq lists it as uncharacterized. Lineage: Eukaryota; Metazoa; Arthropoda; Insecta; Lepidoptera; Tortricidae. The record is from RefSeq and is a predicted model, not a curated record. The transcript has 3 exons.